RNAcentral lists this ribosomal RNA (462 nucleotides) under uncultured Acidobacteriota bacterium. RNAcentral's name for it is "bacterial SSU rRNA". It matches the Rfam family "Bacterial small subunit ribosomal RNA", at positions 224 to 704 of the family's 1533-position model. Lineage: Bacteria; Pseudomonadati; Acidobacteriota. The record is from RNAcentral.
GAGGAGGUCGCGGCUGAUUAGCUAGUUGGCGGGGUAAUGGCCCACCAAGGCGAAGAUCGGUAGCCGGCCUGAGAGGGCGCACGGCCACACUGGAACUGAAACACGGUCCAGACUCCUACGGGAGGCAGCAGUGGGGAAUUUUGCGCAAUGGGGAAACCCUGACGCAGCAACGCCGCGUGGAGGACGAAGUCCCUUGGGACGUAAACUCCUUUCGACCGGGAAGAUGAUGACGGUACCGGUGGAAGAAGCACCGGCUAACUCUGUGCCAGCAGCCGCGGUAAUACAGAGGGUGCGAGCGUUGUUCGGAAUUAUUGGGCGUAAAGGGCGCGUAGGCGGUGUGGUAAGUCACCUGUGAAAUCUCCGGGCUUAACUCGGAGCUUGCAGGCGAAACUGCCGUGCUGGAGUGUGGGAGAGGUGCGUGGAAUUCCCGGUGUAGCGGUGAAAUGCGUAGAUAUCGGGAGG